This 362-nucleotide ribosomal RNA is filed under the name uncultured bacterium. RNAcentral describes it as "bacterial SSU rRNA". It matches the Rfam family "Bacterial small subunit ribosomal RNA", at positions 64 to 422 of the family's 1533-position model. The record is from RNAcentral.
GAGGGCAGGUAGCAAUACCUGACCGGCGAACGGGUGCGUAACACGUGGGUGACCUACCCUCGAGUGGGGGAUAACAUCCCGAAAGGGGUGCUAAUACCGCAUGACAUCCUGUCUUUGAACAGAUGGACAUUAAAGCCGGGGAUCGUAAGACCUGGUGCUCGUGGAGGGGCCCGCGCCCGAUUAGCUAGUUGGUGAGGUAACGGCUCACCAAGGCUUCGAUCGGUAUCCGGCCUGAGAGGGCGGACGGACACACUGGGACUGAGACACGGCCCAGACUCCUACGGGAGGCAGCAGUGGGGAAUUGUUCGCAAUGGGCGAAAGCCUGGCGACGCAACGCCGCGUGGAGGACGAAGAUCUUCGGG